CUGAACCAGCCAAGUAGCGUGAAGGAUGACUGCCCUAUGGGUUGUAAACUUCUUUUAUACGGGAAUAAAGUGAGGCACGUGUGCCCUUUUGUAUGUACCGUAUGAAAAAGGAUCGGCUAACUCCGUGCCAGCAGCCGCGGUAAUACGGAGGAUCCGAGCGUUAUCCGGAUUUAUUGGGUUUAAAGGGAGCGUAGGCGGCCUUUUAAGUCAGUUGUGAAAGUUUGCGG
Molecule: ribosomal RNA, 227 nt
Filed under: uncultured bacterium
Lineage: Bacteria
Description: partial 16S ribosomal RNA
Rfam family: Bacterial small subunit ribosomal RNA
Source: RNAcentral